This 109-nucleotide ribosomal RNA is filed under the name Lepisosteus oculatus (spotted gar). Lineage: Eukaryota; Metazoa; Chordata; Actinopteri; Semionotiformes; Lepisosteidae. The record is from RNAcentral.
UCCAGCAGUUAUAUCACCCUGCAAAUCACAACUAGCAGCCCACCAAAGUGUGAGCCUGGUCAGUACCUGGAUGGGAGACCUCAAGGAAAAACUAAGGUUGCUGCUGGAA